Molecule: ribosomal RNA, 475 nt
Filed under: Veillonella parvula
Lineage: Bacteria; Bacillati; Bacillota; Negativicutes; Veillonellales; Veillonellaceae
Description: bacterial SSU rRNA
Rfam family: Bacterial small subunit ribosomal RNA
Source: RNAcentral
GACGAACGCUGGCGGCGUGCUUAACACAUGCAAGUCGACCGAAGAGCGAUGGAAGCUUGCUUCUAUCAAUCUUAGUGGCGAACGGGUGAGUAACGCGUAAUCAACCUGCCCUUCAGAGGGGGACAACAGUUGGAAACGACUGCUAAUACCGCAUACGAUCUAAUCUCGGCAUCGAGGAUAGAUGAAAGGUGGCCUCUACAUGUAAGCUAUCACUGAAGGAGGGGAUUGCGUCUGAUUAGCUAGUUGGAGGGGUAACGGCCCACCAAGGCGAUGAUCAGUAGCCGGUCUGAGAGGAUGAACGGCCACAUUGGGACUGAGACACGGCCCAGACUCCUACGGGAGGCAGCAGUGGGGAAUCUUCCGCAAUGGACGAAAGUCUGACGGAGCAACGCCGCGUGAGUGAUGACGGCCUUCGGGUUGUAAAGCUCUGUUAAUCGGGACGAAAGGCCUUCUUGCGAAUAGUUAGAAGGAUAGA